AUCCCGGCCAGGGAAAAUGAGACCUCAAACCCCCUACAAAACAGCAUGUGGUAUUACAUGGACUCUUAGUUGGGUGUGAGAAGAAGUAUUUUGAGUGGAGCAGGCUGCCCAGGGAAGUGGUGGAGUCACCAUGCCUAUAGGGUUUUCCUCAAGUCACCGAAGGGAGAUCCAUGUUUUCCCACUGUGCCUGUAGCCAGCUGAAGGUGGCUGUCACAUGGUCCUUCAACAGUGCGUGACUUACCUGGAGACAGCUCUGGACAAGGUGCUUCACCCAGGGACCACAAACUGAAGGAGCUGGGACUCCUUGGGAAGGAGCCCCACCCAUUGUUACCUACAAACAGAGGCCACCCAGGCUGGCAAACAUCCCUGUGCCAAGGUGGCAUGUAGGGCAUUCCUCACCAAUAUCCAAGCCAGACGUUUCUGUUAUAAAAAUAAGGCUCAUUUUGAGCAAAAAUGAAAACCCCUUCCCUGACAUGUGUUUUGGGGAAGGGGUAGCACAGCAGACCAUGCUCACUGUAUUUGACUUUCUCUACUGCAGCCACUGCAAUACAGGUUCCGUUUUAAAAAUCUCAUGGAGCCAGACCCAAAAUGCAGAUUUGUGUCAGUAAAUAUACAGUAAGUGUAAAAUUCUAUGCCUGAUAUUCCUGUCCCAUGAAAUCAUGUAAUCAGUCUGGGAAUUUCUGGGUUUCCAUUAUCCUCUAGUUUCAUAGCCACAGGAGAAAAGCACGGUGGGAUAAAGAGCAAUGAACGCACUCCCCUUUUUGCCAGAGGUAAAAAAAGUAAAUCUUGUUGCCUGAGAAGUAAAUCUUCAGCCUUGCCUGAUGUCUCAUUACCUUUAAAUACAUAUCAAGGUGUACUUCUACUAAACUCAGUAAACUCUGCAAUUUUCAA
This is a non-coding RNA of Sturnus vulgaris (Common starling), 891 nucleotides long. The record is from RefSeq and is a predicted model, not a curated record. Lineage: Eukaryota; Metazoa; Chordata; Aves; Passeriformes; Sturnidae.